GACGAUUCCCUCCACAUCCAAUUGGAUCCUGGACUCUUGUGCAUCCCAUCACAUAACCUCUGAUCUUGCCAACAUGUCUCUUCACUGUCCUUACACUGGUUUCGAGAAUGUGGUUAUUGGUAACGGUGAAGGUUUGACAAUUACACACACCGGACAGGUAACAGUCAUUCCUCUCUUUUAUUACCUGGGGCUCUCUGUGUUCCAUAUAUGCGUAAAAAUUUGAUCUAUGUUGCCCAAUUAUGUCGUCAUAAUAAUGUUAAUGUUAUUCUUUCUGAUACGGAUUUUCAGGUGAAGGAUCGUCGCACGUGGGCAACGCUCGUUCGCGCCCGCUUAGGGGCAACACCUACUACUGGCCGGAGGCUCCAAGUCUCUCGUCCGCCCUCACGGCACAAAAGCUGUCUGCGUCAUUGUGGCAUUCUCGGUUGGGUCACACGUCCGCUAAAAUCCUGCGUCAUUUAGUGUCUUCUAGCAGUAUAGUGUCCAGUAAUGUGUCUGAUCUUGCUUGUGUCUCUUGCAAGCUUCAUAAGUGUCAUAAGCUACCUUUUUCUGAGUCAAGUUUAUCUUCUACUGCUCCGCUGGAGCUUAUUUUUCUGAUGUAUGGACCUCUCCAAUUAUACCUUUUUCUGAGUCAAGUUUAUCUUCUACUGCUCCGCUGGAGCUUAUUUUCUCUGAUGUAUGGACAUUUCCAAUUAUCUCUAAUAAAGGAUUUAAAUAUUAUGUCAUCUUAGUUGAUCAUUUUUCCAAGUAUGUUUGCUUUUUUCCUUUACGCCGUAAAGCUGAUGUCUUACAAACCUUCCACAGUUUUAAAUCCAUUGUAAAAAAAUAUUUCUCUGCUAAAAUCAUUACUCUGUA
This 852-nucleotide long non-coding RNA is filed under the name Nicotiana benthamiana. RNAcentral's name for it is "long non-coding RNA (NBEN_LNC018613)". Lineage: Eukaryota; Viridiplantae; Streptophyta; Magnoliopsida; Solanales; Solanaceae. The record is from RNAcentral.